RNAcentral lists this ribosomal RNA (305 nucleotides) under uncultured bacterium. RNAcentral's name for it is "bacterial SSU rRNA". It matches the Rfam family "Bacterial small subunit ribosomal RNA", at positions 335 to 638 of the family's 1533-position model. The record is from RNAcentral.
AAUCCUACGGGACGCAGCAGCGAGGAAUAUUGGUCAAUGGCCGAGAGGCUGAACCAGCCAAGUCGCGUGAGGGAAGAAUGUCCUAUGGAUUGUAAACCUCUUUUGUCAGGGAGCAAAGUCACCCACGUGUGGGUGUUGGAGAGUACCUGAAGAAAAAGCAUCGGCUAACUCCGUGCCAGCAGCCGCGGUAAUACGGAGGAUGCGAGCGUUAUCCGGAUUUAUUGGGUUUAAAGGGUGCGUAGGCGGAACAUUAAGUCAGCGGUAAAAUCGAGGGGCUCAACCCCUUUAAGCCGUUGAAACUGGUG